AAUUUGUGGGGUUUAGAGUCAACAGGUAUGGAGAAGCAGCGAACAGUCAACACCAGCGUCCUCUCCAGCCUGAAUGGAGCCUAAAAAAGACACACUCCAAACAAUUUGGCUGUCCACUAGGUGAUGUAAAGUGGAUGUUAUAUGUUUGAAAACCGCCAAAAUGAGACAGAUCAAACAGAGAGAAAAAAGGGGGACCUUCCCUUUACCCUCACUGACACUGUCGUUCCUCCUGCUCCUGUCACAAUUUCUUUGACAUCCACCUGAAGCUGUUUGCCCCAACAUGCAAACACCUGUGACCUGUGUGAACCUGCAGAUGCCUGAAGCUGCAGACCGAGGACUGGCUUUCUCCAGGGACUCACACUGAGGAGGUGCCUUUUUAGACAACAACAUUUCAUCAUUCAGAAAUACUGCAUACAUUUUACGAUACGAUACUUUACAAUACUGAAAUCAUUCUAUGUAUCCUACUUUAUACCAACAUUAAUUAUAUAAUCCCUCCAAAUCUAUGGGUGUAUGUUUUGGUACAUUUAUUCUUUUCUGCACAUGAGACAAUAACUUUUUUCAGGUUGGAGAAAAACUCAAUCCAAAAAGACAAUCUCACCUAUCUCUCCAUGCUUCAAUGUGAGGACAUGUGAGCAUGAAAAUCGGUCUCUAGGACUUUAAUUUAGUGCGUCAAAAACUGUCUGUUUAAGAGACUGUUUUAAAGACCUGCCCUUACUCUGGCCUAAACUGGGCUUUUAAAAAUGGUGUUAACAUAUUGGUCCAAUUCCUGUAGUCAUGUAGGUCUAAUUCCUUGUAGUCACAAUGGCAUUCUUAAAUAGUGCAGUUGGAGAUCGAUAUUGACUUUCAUAAAAAACACUGCAAUCAGACUAAAACUGUCUAUGGAGCAUGUUCUGGUCAUGCUCCAUAUCUAGCACACUGAGCGAAGUUAAACAGUGGAAAAGUGUCGGUGUUACUGGUGUUGACAAUAUGUUUUUUUGUUGUUAAGAAAAUGAAACAUCAAUAUUGUGCAAACAAUAAGCAUACAGUAAUAUAGUAUAGAAUUUAUAGUAGUGAACCUUGCUGGUUGCCACAUCUCAUAAAGCAGUAGAGAAAUGAAGAGGAAGCAGCAGCUAGUAGUGAGGUAGCUGUUGCACCCCUCUAAGAUGAUCAGACACUAUGAAAAACUGACAUAUUUAUUAUGAAUCCAAAAACGAUGUCCUCUUCAGCUAACUAAUAAAUCAAAUGUUUUAAACUUACAAUUUUUUUCUUAAAAUCCUAUCAUUCUGAUCUAAUGUACAUGUAGAAUCCUAUCAUUCUGAGCUAAUGUACAACCUGCAGACACUAGCUGAUACUUUAAAAUGUAAGUACAUUUUGACAACGCAGGAAAUACAACAAGCUGAACACAAGGCAGAAAAAAAACAUCAAAAUAAGAGCAUGAUGAAUAAUUGUUGAAUGAGGGAAUGUUCCCUCCAAAGAAGUUUCAGUCACAGAGCUGGUGAUGUGGAUAAAUCAAUAAUUUGAAUGUUAAUAGAAAUAGUAAGUGAACUGUGUUUAUUGGUACAGUUUAUGAAGUGAUGUGCUGCUCCAAUCCUUUCUUGCCUUUCCUCAUUCUGACUGAAUAUAUAGUUUAUUUCAAGUUUUCAAUAAAUAUUGUGAAUAUAUUUUAAUAUUUUAUGGCCAUGAUAAUUUGACACUGUGACAGCUCUAAGAGGGAGUAGCUAUAACCAUAGUUGCUCUUUACUGCGUAUGUAGUGAGUGUGGCUUCAAAAAAGAUACUUCAGACUGUGACGCCUGGUAGAAAUAACUGAUAAACAAAUAAAAGCUUUGAGUGUAGGUUAUACACCUUAUUUCAUGAUGCAUUGCACAUACACCUACUUGAAAUAACAGCAGUUUUAUUUGUGUGCCUUUAAAGAUCUCAAGCUGUGUCCAUCAUCCAGUGAAGAGAGACGGCUGAAGUAAUGCUGCUCCCUCCAGUCACUACUUAGUUCAACCAAAAGCUGAACAAACAAAAGAUGGAUGAAUGAUUAUAAAUGUUUCAAUUUCCAAAAGAAGUCGAAAUCCAACGAAAAAAGACUUACAGAUGAAGAUAAAGCAACAAACCCUCAGUAAAGAUGAUGUUUGGCCGAGGUCAGAAAUACACCUGCAAUAACUGUGUACUGAACCAAAUACACUCUCCCAGAUAGGCUCUUUAUUGUUUCCCUUUUUCAGCAGCUUUUUAAGUAAUAUCACUUCCCAGGAGCUGCAGACGUAUGAGACUUCGUGUUUGGACAAGAGAGGACCGAAGGGUUGUUGUAACAACAGCAGGACAAAACAUGACAUCUUAUUGUCUACAGUCAACAUACCAGAGGAAAAUAACCAUUGGAGACCGAUCUUUAAAAGUUUUUUAGUAAUGACACAAACUGGAAUCAACUUUAUUGUGUCUGUGGAUUAAAGCUACUGUGAGGAGUUCUUUAAUGGGUCAUUAAACAGACUGAAUUUUACAGUGGUGUCCAUAAAGUUGAACAAGACCAGCAGCAACAAGACUGUCAAACACUAAACAGUCAUUUUAAAAAUCAGUAACCACCGUUAGGGGGUCUUUGCUGCACACUUAUCAGCCAUUUUUCAGGCUUUAGUCCAUAGGGGCGCCAAAAUCACAUUUAACUAAAACUUUCUGACAAGAGCUUUUAAUAACAUGUUUAAAAACUUUGGGUAAAAGUGCUUUUAAAUACAUUCAUGACCUGUGACCCAGCUGGCCUUUUUCCUAAUAUAAAGGGCUGAUUUGCUCAUCUAAAUGGACAUUACCGUCUAUCAAUAAAAUACAAGAAUACUGUAAAUCUAAAUGUUUGCCUGACGAUUUUGGCAGUCUUUUCGAUUUCUUCAGAAUGAGUGAUAGUUUCUUUCAGCUGAAUGACACUGUACUUUCUCAUCUACACUGUGCAUGUGCUUGUGGCAUAUCAGCCCCUUUAAAAUCUUAAAUGAGAUCUAAACUCAUGAAGGUAUUUCAGACGUAUUUAAGUAUUUAUGAAGAAUUUAGUUUGAUUACACAUAAAUAGAAAAUAGCUUCAGUGAAUUGACCUUAUUUUGUUGCUCUUAAUGGUCCUUGUUAUGGCUUUACGUAAGCAGCAGAGACCAGGGCCUGAUCCUUAACUUCAGUGAUGUUAUCAAACACACAUGUGCCGCCCAGGUUUGAUGGGUUCGCCAUGCCUUUCGAGCCCCGGGGGGAGAUAAAGAAAGGAAAACCACACAGAAAGCAGAGGGAUAGUGGACACUUAAACAAAGAUACAUGCAGCAAGAUUGUCACCUAACUUCUUUUUUUUUUUUUUUUACCCUGCAUGGUUUGCUUUGCUUCAUGGGAAUUAUCACCAUGACCUGACUCCACCACUGGCCAAUCAGAUUGCAUGGCUGAAACAACCCACUGUAUAAUUGCAUUAUAUAUUAUGACUGGUGGAGGAUCAGUCCUCGCCUGGCCAGGCCUAACUAUCCACCUCCUCGCCUUCUCUCUUCAUGCUCUGUGGGCAGACUUGUAGAUAGCCCAGAUAGAGGGAUAUGACAUUUAUUCAGCCCUUGGUAUCAGGCCAUUAUAAAUAGAAUUAUGUCACAGACAACUGUGCACUAUCUGAUUCUGAGUAAUGGUAAAAAAUCCCCUCCCACGUAUGCUGAUGCUGUUUUUGCAGCUUGUGUUGGGAGAGACACAGCAGACAGGCCAAGUUCAGAGCUUGAGAAAAGGGAGUAGGCAAGGUGAGAAGCUGAUGUUUGAGAAAAAUAUCAGAAGACAUGCACUAAUGUUUCAGUUUUGCAUAGUGGAAGUGCCCUGCUCCAUGUUUAGGUUCAGGGAAUACUCUUAUGGUCAGGGUGGAACUGAAAGUUCACUGCAAACAUUGUAGAGUGGUGAAUAGUCAUCAAUUUAACACAGGGUCAGUGAUCUCCUGCAGCAUAGUAAUUUUCUAAGAAUAGAGGAAAAACAUUUAGAUUAGAAACCAGAUCACUGGGCAGGUUUACUGAGCCAGCUUACUGUGCCUAGGGAGUGGUUUCAUCAGGACCUUAAGCAUUCUCAAAGGUCUGCAACUACAGCGCUGUAUAAAAAUAAACCUGUUCAAUGUAAUUUUGCAUUUGACUUCAUUAGUGUGAUCCUAGUAUUCCUAUUAAGAUCCCUCCUGCACAGUGUUUUAAAGACAGAGGUCACACAAAGCUGAAAACCACAGGUUAGAUCUUUUGAGGUGGGGGAGGUGAGCUUUGCUACACCUGUAACUGCAUCUAAUGAUGAUGUCAUCAAUAUGAGGCCAAGUAAUCAUAGGUCAUAACCCCAGAGUUGCAAAAACGUGAAACAAACCUAGAACAGGUUCAACUCACCUUAUUAGUCGGGACAACCCUUACCAAAAAGAAGUAUGUUGCAGUGUACUUCAAGUAUUCUGUGUUUAAUCUAAGUGUGCUCUCAGUUUACUUUUUAUGCACUUUUCAGAGAUAUACUUAACAAAGUUAAUGUUACUUAUACUUGGUUUGUACUGAGAAGUACUCUCAAAGUCUAAAUAUAUUUAAUUAUACUUAUACAUCAACUUUUGAUCAAGAUAUACUUAAGUAUGUGUUUGUGCCUAAGGUUUAAGUAAACUUGGUCAGUGAAUACUUCCAUGUAUCAUAUAGUCUUAUAGAAUAUACUCUUAAAAACAUAAGCGUUACAAGCCAGGAAUAGAAAUAUGUACUAUUAUUGAAAUAAUAGCAUACCAAAACAGUAACUUUUAUAAACUAAUAAGUGGACUAGAAGUUAAUUACUAGUAAACUAAUAGUAUACGAAAAAGUUAAUUUCAAGUAUGCUUCAAGUGUACUUUUAUAAACUUAAAUUGGGCCAAUAUAGUCCCAAGAAGUUUACUUGUAAGUACACUGAUAGUAUAUUUGUAUCAGUGUACUUUGGGAGGUAUACUAAAAGGAAUUUCAGUAUACUUCGUCAAAUGUACUUAUACUUAUUUUUUGUAGGGGAAAUGUGAUUUUGUAGUCUGGCCAACUAGUGUGAUCAGCUGACUAUUUUGUUUAGUUUUGUUUGAUGCUUUGUUUGGAAUUUUAAUGACAGAUUCUGUUGAUGAUCAACCCCCCCACCCCCCAUACUCUGACAGUGUCGAUAGAGGGAGUGAAAGGUGAAACAUAAAGUAAGUAAUCCAUGCUGGAGUAUAGUUUGAUCGAGGAUAUUGGUGUACAGGAAUACAUCUUUCAAAAAAAAAAAUUACAUACAAUAGAUAUGACACAACACAACACAAUAAGAUGCAAGAUACAACCCAAAAAGACAUAAUAUAAUAUGAUAUCAUACAUGAUGGGAUGCAACAUGAGGCGAAACAACACAAUCCAGCACAUUACAAUGCCAUAAGACUCAGUUUAUUGACCUCUUUGGUAAAUUUGUCUUGAACUCAAGAGUUGCACUUGCUCAAAUGCAUCCUCAUCAGAUAAAACAAAUGGACAAGUGAACGUUAAAAAAUACAAAAUUCCCCAUGCAAACACAGAAAACAAACCAAGGAGACCACAAACACACAAGCAACUAAAUAAGAAAAAGAAAAGAAAAAAUACGAACAAUAUCAUGACAUAAUUGAACAAGCCUUAAAGUCUCAAAAUCUUGAAUGAAGUUUCAUAUUAGAGUCUCAAUGCUCACCCAAUUGUUACAGCUCACAGACAUGCAUGCACGCACGCACACACACACACACACACGCACGCACGCACGCACGCACGCACACACACACACACACACACACACACACACACACACACACACACACACACACACACACACUUGGCAGUUUGCUCUUUUGCAAUUUGAACUUUGCAUGUCUGUCUCGGGGGUUUAGCAUGUGCUGUGUUGGCCAUCUCUGCUCUCGACACACUUGAAGAACUGAAGUGUUUCCUCCUGUGUUUUGUGUCCUCAGUGUGUGGGAUCAGUGACAUCUACAUGUCUGACAAUCAAUCAAUCAAUCAAUCAAACUUUAUUUAUAUAGCACCUUUCAUGCUUUUAAGCUGCAACACAAGGUGCUUUACAAAAAGGUAAAAACAAACAACGGUAAAAAACACACAACAGGCAAUUAAAUAGGCAUAAAAUCCGUCCCUUCCCACCCACAGCAGCACAUACAGGCAUGCACAGCAGCCCCCCCACACACACACACAUACACGACAAGGUUUGAAAAUCAUUAUCUGGUCCCGGAUUUGUUUUAUCUCAUUGAUUUAUACUAUUUUAUCUACUUGGCUUAUGCUGAAUGAUCAUUUAAGGGCAGGGGGAGCGCCUUCUGAUUUCCUCAUCUUAAAAGGGUGAAAAUAAGAGAAAUGACAGCAUGUUUAAGCUUUCAUUUCAAGAAACCAUGAUUCAUAAUACUCAAAAGCCAGGAGUAAGUCAAUAACAGUCCUGUGAUAAAUAACCCUGUCCUGGGUAAGAGGAUCUGAGGGGGAAUUUUCCUAGGAGAGCUGGAUUGAAGCAAAUGAUCAGAGGAGGACGUCAGCCAACAGAGGGCUGAGGAAGAGGAUGGUUAUGAUGAUGCAACUAAAUCUCUGUUUUUAAGUCUUUGCUCAGAGACUUGGCCUAAUCAACAAUCAGUCUCAGACUAGUCUGAGUAAACAGGCCCACAAGACAAUAUUUGUCCUUUAACUGCAGAUAUCAAUAAAAUAACAGAGUUAACAUCCUCCUGACCUCAGUGCUGACCAGAGGAUAGCCCACUCACUUCUGCAUAACACACACACGCACAAACAUGGAUAAAACAGGGAUGUAGUGAUAAAGCCAAAGUUAGUUAACAGGAACUAUAAAUCCUAAAUAUUUCUCUCAUCCUCUGUUUUAAGCCAGCUAACUAAACUGUCAGACCACUGGGAAAAAAACAAAACAACAACAACAACAACAAAAAAAAACAUGAUUCUGGAGUGUGCAUGGCACAUACUCCGAGUCUGAGGACAGUGAGUUAUCCCAGGACAUGCCAGGUUCAAGACAUCACUGUGUUUUGUCUCCGCUCUGUCUGAACAUCCUGAACCCACAUAUCUGCAUGAAGCAGAAAACUUCACAGAAAAGCUGAAAAUGUAUCUAAACUGUGUUACAUGAAUAAAAACGAUUAAGACUCAAUAACUCGACUAACCUGUUUCCCAUGUUUGUGAGGGUGUGGUAUCAUGGCUUUUCUCUGGCUAGGAUAAGGAUGUAAUAUGACACAAGAAAGAUAAGAUAAAGUAAGAUGUAUUUUUUGCUCCUCUGAAUCAGGGCAUGUCUGACCCUUUUUGUUGGUUAAGCAGCACAAAAUCUGUUCAAUAAGUGAGAUACAGGAUAGAAGGAGAAUGAAGCUGAUAACAUGAACCACACCAGUCAGAGUGUAAGCUCUCAUCCCAUUUAACAGACAGGUGCACCUGCAGACAGGCAUAUUACCAUGGCAGAUUUGAACCUUUCUACUUAUAAUCAUCACACCGUUAUGCUUGCACACUGAACUCUACAACAGCAUCAUUUUGGUGUAGUCCCACAUGCACAUACACAGACUCACACAUUGUAGGUAAUUGAUGUACAUCUGCUGACACAAAGCUGACACUCUCCUUGAAGGUAUUGUGUUUAACAUUGUUUGGUUGAGUGACAGUCAGUGAUCAUUUCUGUCCAUCUAAAAUAUUCUUCUUGGGAUACAACUGAACAGGACAGAAAAGUAUCAGAGGAACAAAGGUUCCUUCUGUUCAUAUUUCAGUAAAAGUUGACCAGUCUGAUGAUUCAUAAUUGAGCAGAGGUCUGUGAGUGGACAUCUGCUUAUUUUCAGAGGCUGCAGGUCAAAAACUCAAUUCCUUCCACUUUGAAUGUCACUUCUUUUACCGUUUUAAACUCGUGCUCACUCAUGUGUUGUUAUAGUAAGGAAAAUAUUUAUGUUUUCCAACACAGAGUGAGCCAGUAGGACGGUGAGGCCAGCAACAAGAAAACAGGACGUCUGUUUUAUGUUUUACACCUAGACACAUUUCUUUUACAUGUUACUUUGACUGAAAAACUGAAUCAUAAGUGGACAAAUGCCAUAAACACAAACUUAUUUUAGGCCCAUUUUUCAUCACAGCACAGUCACAAUUACUGUGUUGAUACCUCCUUUAGAGGAAGAUUGAUGAAAACGAUGAACCAUAUUCGAUCAAUGACAAAGUAACAAAAGAAACCUCCCUAACAGCAGUGUUUGUUUGGUCAAUAUUGGGUUACAGAGUAUUUCUGGGAUCUAUCAUGAUCCUCUCAUUCAGGCGGGUCACAUGUCUCCUGAGUCUUAGACACUUCAGUCUCUGAUCUCUUGCUCUUACGAAAGUUUUUUUUUUAAUUAUUUAUUCUCUCAUCCAGCAGAGUCCUAGUCCAAAGUGGCUGCACACUGCAGUGGGAGAUGAACUGAUUAUGUAUCAAGGAAGACCUGAUAAUUCCAGCUCACACUCAAGCAAAUCCAGGGUCUGUCCGUCUGAAAUCAACAGAGUUAUUAUUUUCAGUCAUACACUCAUUCACAGAUAUUUGACAUUUUAUGUUUCUUAGUAGAAAUUACACACUGUGAAGCUUGAAAAAAAUUAAAAAUAAAAAAAUAUCUUCAGAGUGUCCAUCACUGAGUGUCUUCCAUCCAUCUGAAGGCUCAAUUCCAUCAAUUGAGCCUUCAGAUCUAAAACCUGCUCCUGUCACUAUGUGCUCCUGAUGGCUGAGUUGACCGCAGUCUUGGCCCUGCUGUCUCAUUAUUUCUGAAUGGCAGAGCCAACUCUAGGCUGGAGCCACAGAGGAGGAACAAUUAAAGGCCUGCAGAGGACCAGAAGUGGAGGCGAAAAUUUGCUUUGGGCCGAACUUUACAGCCACAGAGGAAACGGCUCUUGUAGCUACAAUCCUCUGACCAAGAAAAACAAUCCAUCCAUCAUAAUUACUAGUUCUUUGGUAUUUCUUUUCAUGAUUUUGCAUGGUUUUGAUAGCAAGGACAGACUGAUUAGAGUGAGUGAGCUGACCAAAACGACAUCACACAGUGCCACAGUUACUUUGAUGUAACUGUAUCAUCAGUGAGAGGGUCUGAAACUAUGGACAAACUCAAAGGUUUACAUUAGGUCACAGCUUUGGAUCAGUUCAACCUCAUCAUUGAGAAGUUUUCAACACACUUAAUACAACAAUACCAAUGAGCUGUAUCAAAGCCAAGACCAGAUUCAGCAUGUCUCAUCCAGGACUAAUUUCCAGCCUCUGCCUUAAAGCUCCUGUGAGAAGCAUACACAGAAAUGACAAGGGGGACAGGGAGGAUGGGGGGCAGACCUCCCCAAUCCUGGAAAAUUAGAGAAAUGCAUUGUCUGCAGGUAGGCUGCACGUUACAGAAAGUAUUCAUCAUCCUGUUGACUAGGAGACAAAAGAGAGUGAAAAUUAAAACUUUAGACAGAGACUGUCUCUGUUUGUUUCUGUGUCCUCUGACACUGUAAUAUAAGAUCACAGAGAGAUUCAAACACACUGAAUUAGUAAAUCCCUCAUGAGUCUUCACAGUGGUGUACAUAAGGGUUCAACUAAUUUAAAAAAAGCAAAUCAAAUCAAACACUCCCUCUCUUCAACCCUCCACUGCUGUGUGGCUCUCAGUAAAUCUGCUCACUCUUCAAUCCACAGAGAACAUUUACAUUCCCCAAAGCUGACUCUCAGUUUGGGGUUUAACAUGUUUUUUACUGACAACAAAAACUGGAAUCUGCUUGUCCUUCAGGGACGUGUGUGUGUCUGUAUGUGUCAUAGGCUGCUGUUUGAGAGG
This 9656-nucleotide long non-coding RNA is filed under the name Xyrichtys novacula (pearly razorfish). Lineage: Eukaryota; Metazoa; Chordata; Actinopteri; Labriformes; Labridae. The record is from RNAcentral.